Ribosomal RNA from Pteropus vampyrus (large flying fox), 104 nucleotides. The record is from Ensembl. Lineage: Eukaryota; Metazoa; Chordata; Mammalia; Chiroptera; Pteropodidae.
AACCACUGUUAUCUCAAUUUUAAAAAGACUCAGAAACUAAGCAGGGUCAGGCCUGGUUAGUACUUUGAUGGGAGACAACCUAGGAAGACCUGGUGCUGUAGACG